This 326-nucleotide unclassified non-coding RNA is filed under the name air metagenome. RNAcentral's name for it is "partial contains small subunit ribosomal RNA, internal transcribed spacer 1, and 5.8S ribosomal RNA". The stretch from base 1 to 46 matches the Rfam family "Eukaryotic small subunit ribosomal RNA", at positions 1786 to 1831 of the family's 1831-position model. The record is from RNAcentral.
AAGUCGUAACAAGGUAUCUGUAGGUGAACCUGCAGAUGGAUCAUUUCGAUGAAAACCUUUUUUUCUUGAGGUGUGGCUCGCACCUGUCUAACUAAACUUGAGCUACCAUUUUUUCAACACGGUUGCAUCGGUUGGCCUGUCAAUUAGUGCGGCGGCGCGAAUUUACUUUGCACCUGCCAAGCUAGGCGACGGACCGACGCCUUACUUUAAACACUUUUGAUGAUCUAGGAUUUGAAGGAUAAAAGUUCAUUUUUACAAUGAAAUCGACUGGUAAUGCGGUCGUCUAAUUUUAAAAACAACUUUUGGCAACGGAUCUCUUGGUUCUC